This 85-nucleotide ribosomal RNA is filed under the name Borreliella garinii. The record is from RNAcentral. Lineage: Bacteria; Pseudomonadati; Spirochaetota; Spirochaetia; Spirochaetales; Borreliaceae.
ACCUCUUAUCAUUCGCAACACAGAAGUUAAGCUCUUAUUCGCUGAUGGUACUGCGAGUUCGCGGGAGAGUAAGUUGUUGCCAGGG